Molecule: long non-coding RNA, 479 nt
Organism: Xiphophorus maculatus (southern platyfish)
Lineage: Eukaryota; Metazoa; Chordata; Actinopteri; Cyprinodontiformes; Poeciliidae
Exons: 3
Source: RefSeq, a predicted model, not a curated record
CGUAGAAAAGAGCCCCUAACCCGCCACUAGUGGGAUCCACAGACCCCCACUCAGCUAACGAAGAGGCAUUCCGCAGAGGAGUGGCUGUUUCCUCUGCGUACAGCCUGACACGGCGUCUGUCUCACGAUUGUGAGAGCAUCCCUGUAAAGAAAUCAAAAUGGUCACAUAAUUCACAGGAAUAGAACGGAACCAGGUUGGAUGGAUGAUGGAUAAAGGGACCGAGAAUAGAUGAAUGGAGAGCACGAGGGAGAGAGCCAAACCAAGAAGCGGCCUCCUCUGAAUGUGUGGGCUGCUGCUUUCUCAGGAGGGAGCAGUGCAAUGCGGCUCCAUGGAGACCCAGACAAAGCCUCAUUGAUGAAGACCUUUUUCUGUUCUCCGCUACAUUGUUAUCAGCAGAGAACUGCAAAGCCACGUGGAGUUGUUACCCGUCCAUGGCCCAAACUCCCAGCCAUGUUAUUUCCUGGAGUGAAAAACAUGUA